GUCUUUUUGAUAAUUAUUUAAGGUUUAGCCUGCUCCAUGAAUUAAUUAAAUAGCCGCAGUAUUUUGACUGUGCAAAGGUAGCAUAAUCAUUAGUUUUUUAAUUGAAAGCUGGAAUGAAUGGUUGGAUGAGAAAGAAGCUGUCUCAUUUUAAUUUAAAUUGAAUUUUAUUUUUAAGUUAAAAAGCUUAAAUUUAGUAAAAAGACGAGAAGACCCUAUAGAGUUUAAUAAAUAAUGAUUCUAUUAUUUGAAGAUUAUAAUGUAAUUGUUUUAUUGUUUGUUUUGUUGGGGUGACACGAGAAUUAAAGAAACUUCUUGUAAUUUGAACACUGAUAAGUGUAUUGAUGAUCCUGUAUUAUAGAUCAAAAGAGAAAAUUACCUUAGGGAUAACAGCGUAAUUCUUUUGGAGAGUUCUUAUCGAUAAAAGGGAUUGCGACCUCGAUGUUGGAUUAAAGUUAAGUUUUGGCGCAGAAGCUGAAAUUUUGAGUCUGUUCGACUCUUAAAUCUUUACAUGAUCUGAGUUUAAACCGGCGUGAGCCAGGUUGGUUUCUAUCUUUUAUAAAUAAAAUGUUUUAGUACGAAAGGACCAAAUAUUUAAAUUAUAUUUUUUAUUAGAAUAGAAUUGUUAUUUUGGCAGACUAGUGCAAUAGAUUUAGAAUCUUUAAAUGUAAUUUAAUUACAAAUAACAAUUUAUUAUAUUGAUUUGGUUUUAUUGAUUAUUUCUAUAUUGAUUUUUAUUGUAUGUAUUUUAGUUGGAGUUGCAUUUUUGACUUUGUUAGAACGAAAAAUUUU
This 789-nucleotide ribosomal RNA is filed under the name Meloe laevis. Its description in RNAcentral is "partial large subunit ribosomal RNA". The stretch from base 1 to 577 matches the Rfam family "Bacterial large subunit ribosomal RNA", at positions 1829 to 2925 of the family's 2925-position model. Lineage: Eukaryota; Metazoa; Arthropoda; Insecta; Coleoptera; Meloidae. The record is from RNAcentral.